UGGGCCGGCACGUUUACUUUGAACAAAUUAGAGUGCUUAAAGCAGGCAAGCCCGCCUGAAUACUGUGUGCAUGGAAUAAUGGAAUAGGACCUCGGUUCUAUUUUGUUGGUUUUCGGAACCCGAGGUAAUGAUUAAUAGGGACAGGCGGGGGCAU
RNAcentral lists this ribosomal RNA (154 nucleotides) under Calliptamus italicus (Italian locust). RNAcentral describes it as "partial smal subunit ribosomal RNA". It matches the Rfam family "Eukaryotic small subunit ribosomal RNA", at positions 743 to 891 of the family's 1831-position model. The record is from RNAcentral. Lineage: Eukaryota; Metazoa; Arthropoda; Insecta; Orthoptera; Acrididae.